Non-coding RNA from Lupinus angustifolius (narrow-leaved blue lupine), 91 nucleotides. The record is from Rfam. Lineage: Eukaryota; Viridiplantae; Streptophyta; Magnoliopsida; Fabales; Fabaceae.
CCUCGGUGAUGAUCAAAUAACGAUGACGAGUCUGAUGAAAUUUCCAUUCAUUAAAAUACUGAUGACAAAACGAGGCAUUUGUCUGACAGGA